RNAcentral lists this transfer RNA (68 nucleotides) under Marmota monax (woodchuck). RNAcentral describes it as "tRNA.Ala". The record is from RNAcentral. Lineage: Eukaryota; Metazoa; Chordata; Mammalia; Rodentia; Sciuridae.
GGAUAUAGCUCAGCUGGUAGAGUGUGUACCUUGCAUGCACAAGGCCCUGAUUUCAAUUCCCAGCACCA